Molecule: non-coding RNA, 448 nt
Organism: Camellia sinensis
Lineage: Eukaryota; Viridiplantae; Streptophyta; Magnoliopsida; Ericales; Theaceae
Source: RefSeq, a predicted model, not a curated record
AACAAGAUCCAACCCUUCAUAAACAUUUGAUAUGCCUGAGUUCUGCUAAAGCCAAAUUUGGUGGUGACUCUCCAGUUGAAGAUACAAACCCUCUGGCUUUGAAGUUAUAUGAGAUUGUGUUACCAGUGUUCUAGUUACUCUCCACAGAAAGUGUCACCGUUCAAGGCCCACCAUAGAGCUUUUAACUUGUUUAGCAUGGGGCCUUCUCUUAAGAAGGUUUACGGACGUGACGUACAAGGUGGUUAUAAAAGGAGUGACAUCAACGGUGGAGAAAGAAAUACUUAAUGGGAUUUCUGGUUCGGUGAAUCCUGGAGAAGUUUUGGCAUUGAUGGGGCCUUCGGGGUGUGGAAAGACUACACUUCUAAGUCUGCUCGGUGGCAGGGUGAGAGGGUCGACACCAGGAGGUUCAAUUACUUAUAAUGACUAGCCAUAUUCGAAGUUCCUAAAG